GAUUAUUUAUUAGCUUGUUUUAUUUGUGUUGAUUUUGUAUUUGUAUUUUAUUGAAGAAUCAUUUUGUUGUUGUAUAUUUGUGAUUUAAUUUUUUUUACUAUAGAUUACUUGUACCGUAGGGGUAUGAACCAUUAAUGUAUUUUUAGAAGCUAGUUUUAUUUAUUGUACCUUGUGUAUCAGGGUUCAUUGAAUUUUAUUAUUUAUUUUUAUUUCCCGAUUUUAAAGGAGUUAAUGGUUUAUUUUAGUUAUUGUUUCAAUAUUAUUAAUAAUAAAUUGUUGGCAGUGAAAUUUUAUUCGUCUUUAGUGGUUUCUGGUUUUUCAAGAAAUGAAUUCAAUUCAGGCAUCUUGUUUAAUUUUUAAUUUUGUUUUAUUUAUUUUUAUUUGGUGCUAAGAUUGAGGGGGAUUAGCUCCUUGUUUUAUUUUUAUAAUUGUUUUUAUUAUUUAGUUUUGUGGAUUUUAUAGUGAUUUUCGAUUUGAUUAUGUUAAAGUUUUAUUUAUCUUUUUGUUUAUUUACUUUUGGUUUAAGUUUUUAUUGGAAUUAUUUCUUUAUCUUUUGUUUGAAUAGUAAUUAUUGUGUAAUUAGUAAAUUUUUUUUUAUGUUGUUCAUUUUGUGUUAAAUUCUUUUUAGGAAUUAGGCAAAUUAUUUAUGUCCGCCUGUUUAACAAAAACAUCUCUUCUUGUUAGUUUUUGAGGUAUGGCCUGCCCACUGACUUUAUUUGUUGAAGGGCCGCGGUAUUUUGACCGUGCAAAGGUAGCAUAAUCAUUAGUUCUUUAAUUGUGAUCUGGUAUGAAUGGCUUGACGAGACAUAAUCUGUCUUAGAUGGAUAUUUUAUUGAAUUUGGUCUUUGAGUUAAAAUUCUUAAAUGUUUUUAUGGGACGAGAAGACCCUAUAGAGUUUAACAUCUUAGCUUGUUUUAUUUGUGUUGGUUUUCUUCUUGACUGGUUUAGAUGUUUUGUUGGGGUGAUGAGAGGAAUAUGUUUAACUCCUCUUUAUUUUGUAUAUUUAUAUAUAAAUUUUUGAUCCAAUUAUGUUGAUUAUAAGAUUAAAUUACCUUAGGGAUAACAGCGUUAUCUUCCUUGAGAGUUCUUAUUGGCGGGGAGGUUUGCGACCUCGAUGUUGGAUUAAGGUUAAUUUUCGGUGUAGGAGCUGAAAGUGAUUGGGUCUGUUCGACCUUUAAAAUCUUACAUGAUCUGAGUUCAGACCGGCGUGAGCCAGGUUGGUUUCUAUCUAUAAUAUUGUUUAUACCUUAGUACGAGAGGACCGGGUAUUUGAAAUAAUUUUAUUCAGUGUGAUUAUUAAUAAUGAUACUAUUUUGGCAGAUAAGUGCAUUGGAUUUAGAAUCUAUUAAUGUAAAGUUUU
Molecule: ribosomal RNA, 1360 nt
Filed under: Anoplotermes group sp. Q TB-2017
Lineage: Eukaryota; Metazoa; Arthropoda; Insecta; Blattodea; Termitidae
Description: 16S ribosomal RNA
Rfam family: Archaeal large subunit ribosomal RNA (bases 870-1234)
Source: RNAcentral